UCUGUUCGUCUGGGGUGCCAUCCACUGGCUGAGAUUAAACCCAUCGAACCUGAUGUAGUUGAUACUACCGAAGGAAGCGCGACUAACCCUAAAA
RNAcentral lists this non-coding RNA (94 nucleotides) under Secundilactobacillus kimchicus. Its description in RNAcentral is "Lactobacillus kimchicus TPP sequence". It matches the Rfam family "TPP riboswitch aptamer (THI element)". Rfam says of the family: Vitamin B(1) in its active form thiamin pyrophosphate (TPP) is an essential coenzyme that is synthesised by coupling of pyrimidine and thiazole moieties in bacteria. Lineage: Bacteria; Bacillati; Bacillota; Bacilli; Lactobacillales; Lactobacillaceae. The record is from RNAcentral. RNAcentral also lists the same sequence under 1 other name.